Molecule: ribosomal RNA, 243 nt
Filed under: uncultured bacterium
Lineage: Bacteria
Description: partial 16S ribosomal RNA
Rfam family: Bacterial small subunit ribosomal RNA
Source: RNAcentral
AGGAUCCAAGCGUUAUCCGGAUUUAUUGGGUUUAAAGGGUGCGUAGGCGGCUAAUUAAGUCAGGGGUGAAAUACGGCAGCUCAACUGUCGCAGUGCCUUUGAUACUGGUUAGCUUGAAUAUGGACGAAGAUGGCGGAAUGAGACAAGUAGCGGUGAAAUGCAUAGAUAUGUCUCAGAACUCCGAUUGCGAAGGCAGCUGUCUAGGUCAUUAUUGACGCUGAUGCACGAAAGCGUGGGGAUCAA